UCCGGUUUGGCACCGGCAGUCUCCCCAGAGUGCCCGGCUUUACCCGCUGGCAACUAAUGGCAAGGGUUGCGCUCGUUGCGGGACUUAACCCAACAUCUCACGACACGAGCUGACGACAGCCAUGCAGCACCUGUGCACGAUCUCCGAAGAGGGGCUCUCGUUUCUGAGAGCUUGCUCGUACAUGUCAAGCCCAGGUAAGGUUCUUCGCGUCGCAUCGAAUUAAGCAACAUGCUCCGCCGCUUGUGCGGGGCCCCGUCAAUUCCUUUGAGUUUUAGCCUUGCGGCCGUACUCCCCAGGCGGGGUGCUUAAUGCGUUAGCUUCGGCACGGAGGGGGUCGAUGUCCCCCCACACCUAGCACCCAACGUUUACGGCUAGGACUAC
This 381-nucleotide unclassified non-coding RNA is filed under the name uncultured Actinomycetes bacterium. Its description in RNAcentral is "uncultured actinobacterium contains 16S-23S intergenic spacer region". The record is from RNAcentral. Lineage: Bacteria; Bacillati; Actinomycetota; Actinomycetes.